UACGUAGGGGGCAAGCGUUGUCCGGAAUUAUUGGGCGUAAAGAGCUCGUAGGCGGUCUGUCGCGUCGGCUGUGAAAUCCCGAGGCUCAACCUCGGGUCUGCAGUCGAUACGGGCAAACUAGAGUAUUGCAGGGGAGACUGGAAUUCCUGGUGUAGCGGUGAAAUGCGCAGAUAUCAGGAGGAACACCGAUGGCGAAGGCAGCUCGCUGGGACGGUACUGACGCUGAGGCGCGAAAGCGUGGGGAGCGAACAGG
Molecule: ribosomal RNA, 253 nt
Filed under: uncultured bacterium
Lineage: Bacteria
Description: partial 16S ribosomal RNA
Rfam family: Bacterial small subunit ribosomal RNA
Source: RNAcentral